AGAACGAACGCUGGCGGCAUGCCUAAUACAUGCAAGUCGAACGAAGGCUUCGGCCUUAGUGGCGCACGGGUGCGUAACGCGUGGGAAUCUGCCCCUUGGUUCGGAAUAACAGUUGGAAAUGACUGCUAAUACCGGAUGAUGACGAAAGUCCAAAGAUUUAUCGCCAAGGGAUGAGCCCGCGUAGGAUUAGCUAGUUGGUGAGGUAAAGGCUCACCAAGGCGACGAUCCUUAGCUGGUCUGAGAGGAUGAUCAGCCACACUGGGACUGAGACACGGCCCAGACUCCUACGGGAGGCAGCAGUAGGGAAUAUUGGACAAUGGGCGAAAGCCUGAUCCAGCAAUGCCGCGUGAGUGAUGAAGGCCUUAGGGUUGUAAAGCUCUUUUACCCGAGAUGAUAAUGACAGUAUCGGAGAAUAAGCCCGGACUAACUCCGCGCCAGCAGCCGC
RNAcentral lists this ribosomal RNA (445 nucleotides) under uncultured soil bacterium. RNAcentral describes it as "bacterial SSU rRNA". It matches the Rfam family "Bacterial small subunit ribosomal RNA", at positions 26 to 518 of the family's 1533-position model. The record is from RNAcentral.